UACGUAGGGUGCGAGCGUUGCCCGGAUUUAUUGGGCGUAAAGAGCGCGCAGGCGGUCGUUCAAGUCGAGUGUGAAAGCCCCCGGCUCAACUGGGGAGGGUCACUCGAUACUGAUCGACUCGAAGGCAGGAGAGGGUAGUGGAAUUCCCGGUGUAGUGGUGAAAUGCGUAGAUAUCGGGAGGAACACCAGUGGCGAAGGCGACUACCUGGCCUGUUCUUGACGCUGAGGCGCGAAAGCUAGGGGAGCAAACGGG
This 253-nucleotide ribosomal RNA is filed under the name uncultured bacterium. Its description in RNAcentral is "partial 16S ribosomal RNA". It matches the Rfam family "Bacterial small subunit ribosomal RNA", at positions 524 to 776 of the family's 1533-position model. The record is from RNAcentral.